Molecule: ribosomal RNA, 555 nt
Filed under: uncultured Burkholderia sp.
Lineage: Bacteria; Pseudomonadati; Pseudomonadota; Betaproteobacteria; Burkholderiales; Burkholderiaceae
Description: bacterial SSU rRNA
Rfam family: Bacterial small subunit ribosomal RNA
Source: RNAcentral
ACGGCAGCACGGACUUCGGUCUGGUGGCGAGUGGCGAACGGGUGAGUAAUACAUCGGAACGUGUCCUGGAGUGGGGGAUAGCCCGGCGAAAGCCGGAUUAAUACCGCAUACGCUCUGUGGAGGAAAGGGGGGGAUCUUAGGACCUCUCGCUCAAGGGGCGGCCGAUGGCAGAUUAGCUAGUUGGUGGGGUAAAGGCCUACCAAGGCGACGAUCUGUAGCUGGUCUGAGAGGACGACCAGCCACACUGGGACUGAGACACGGCCCAGACUCCUACGGGAGGCAGCAGUGGGGAAUUUUGGACAAUGGGCGCAAGCCUGAUCCAGCAAUGCCGCGUGUGUGAAGAAGGCCUUCGGGUUGUAAAGCACUUUUGUCCGGAAAGAAAACCUCUGUCCUAAUACGGCGGGGGGAUGACGGUACCGGAAGAAUAAGCACCGGCUAACUACGUGCCAGCAGCCGCGGUAAUACGUAGGGUGCAAGCGUUAAUCGGAAUUACUGGGCGUAAAGCGUGCGCAGGCGGUCCGCUAAGACAGAUGUGAAAUCCCCGGGCUUAACCUG